AUCUAGGGCAGCAGGCGCGCAAAUUACCCAAUCUCAAUACGAGGAGGUAGUGACAAGCUAUAGUGACUCCACACCAUUCGGUGGGGAGGUAUUGUCUUCUGACGAUUUUCCAUGAUUUGGGUGUAGAUAACCCUUAGAGUAGCCAUUGGAGGAAAAGUCUGGUGCCAGCACCCGCGGUAAUUCCAGCUCCAAGAGCGUAUAUUAAUACUGCUGUAGUUAAAACGCCCGUAGUAUACCUAAGAGUGGGUGUGUAGUAAUUAGUUUUGCCAGAGGACGGUUGGCGAGAGUUUAUCACUCUUGUUUACCUACUUUUGGUAGACUUUAGUCGGGCUGGACCUUUGGUCCUCGUCUGACAGUUGCUACGUGCUUACUUACCACGGUUCAUCCGUGAGGCCCUUGGCUUGCAACUGUAAAUAAAUCGUUGUGCUUAAAGCGGGCUAUGAUACUCUGCCAGAGCGAUUUAGCAUGGGACUGCAGAGUAGCUGUAUUUGAGUGAAGGUUGCACCUCGGUGUGGCUGGAGCUUGGUACAGCGCUUGUAAUGGAGCUCAGGGUGAGGCCCCGGGUACCAUGAGGCUAGAGGUGAAAUUCUGAGACCCUCAUGUGACCAACUAAGGCGAAAGCUGUCGUGGGCCACCACAAGCUCGUCUAUCAGGGACGAAAGUUGGGGGAUCGAAGACGAUUAGAUACCGUCGUAGUCCCAGCUAUAAACGAUACCAACCGAGUAUUUGGGAAGACACUAUCCCAGCGAUCUUCUCAGAACUCAAGGGAAACCUUAGUCUUUGGGUUCUGGGGGGAGUAUAGUCGCAAGACCGAAACUUAAAGGAAUUGACGGAAAGGCACCACCAGGAGUGGAGUCUGCGGCUUAAUUCGACUCACACGGGGAAAC
This 887-nucleotide ribosomal RNA is filed under the name Naegleria jejuensis. RNAcentral describes it as "SSU rRNA". It matches the Rfam family "Eukaryotic small subunit ribosomal RNA", at positions 418 to 1214 of the family's 1831-position model. The record is from RNAcentral. Lineage: Eukaryota; Heterolobosea; Eutetramitea; Acrasida; Naegleriidae.